This is a long non-coding RNA of Microcebus murinus (gray mouse lemur), 900 nucleotides long. The record is from Ensembl. NCBI's taxonomy places the organism in Eukaryota, Metazoa, Chordata, Mammalia, Primates, Cheirogaleidae.
CGCCGAGACGCCCCGCCCCGGCCCGCCGGAGCCUGGGCUCGCUCGGCGCUGGUCGGAGCGAGCCAGAACUACGCGUAGCGACGUUGAAGCAGCACAGGGGGUGGUAGCAAGCACGUUUAUAGUAACGAGCAAAAGGUUCCCAUCAACCGAGAGACGUCUGCUUCUGCUCAGACACUCCAAUUCUUCGUCUGCAGGAAAUCAGUUCUCCAUUUAGUGUUAAUGCCUGAGUAAUGUCACCGGCUUUUCAUCUUUUCCGCUGGAGCGGACGCUCCCUUGGGCGCAGUCAGCGUUUUCCUGCGCGAGAGGGAGCUGGAGAGCGCGGUGCUCUCGGAAUGGGCGGCCGGGGAAGAAGGCUUAAGUCGGCGUUUGGGCAGAAGGUGCGGUUUUUUUAGAAAAAAGAAAUGGAGCACUUUCCUGUUUUAUUAGCAAAUAAAAAUUAUGAAUGGAGAAAUGUAACACACACGUUAUUGUUUGGAAUGAUCCUUCUGGUCGUGAUUUCCUGCAGAUUUAAGUUUAAACAACUUGCAAAUGCUUUACAGGAGUAAAUGGAUUAAGAAAUUCAUCUUUUUCCUCGCUUGUUAUCAGAGCAAGAAAUUAUGAAUUAUGCCUUCCACAAAUGGAAAAGAGGCUCUUCUUUCAGAAUAAGCUGCAAGAACUGGAGCUGCAAGAACCUCAGACUGGGGAUAAAAUUAUGAGAGAGAUUACGAAAACUGGCUACCAAGAACUUCCAUAUUUUAAGGUUUCUGGUAACUGCGUAUCUGCCUUGCCUUCCUGUUCUUGGUUGACCCUUGCUCUGUUCCUGAGUCCAGGUAAUAACAUUCUCCUCCCAGUUCCUCAACAAGGUUGUUCUCUGUCUCCUCCAGUAACUAGAUUUGCCUGAAUCCGCCCCAUAUAUCUCAC